UACAGAGGUCUCAAGCGUUGUUCGGAUUCAUUGGGCGUAAAGGGCGUGUAGGUGGUUUUGUAAGUCUGGCGUGAAAUUUCUCGGCUUAACCGAGGCAGGUCGUCGGAUACUAUAAGACUAGAGGACGGUAGAGGCGUGUGGAAUUCCGGGUGUAGUGGUGAAAUGCGUAGAGAUCCGGAGGAACACCAGUGGCGAAGGCGACACGCUGGGCCGUACCUGACACUGAUGCGCGACAGCAUGGGGAGCAAACAGG
This 253-nucleotide ribosomal RNA is filed under the name uncultured bacterium. Its description in RNAcentral is "partial 16S ribosomal RNA". It matches the Rfam family "Bacterial small subunit ribosomal RNA", at positions 524 to 776 of the family's 1533-position model. The record is from RNAcentral.